GGUGAGGACGUUGUCCCUGUUUUGCAGAUGGGGACAUUUUUACCCAGAGAUAUUGUAGUUUACCCAAAAUCAGCACAGAUGAGGAGGCUCUGCAGUCUUGUGCUCCUCACCCAAAUUCACCGAGUGGGUGUGAGGAGGGUGCUGUGGCUAGCUUGUGCUCCGGCACAGGAUUCAGAAAUUGGAAGAAGAGGCGAGUGGCAGCAGGCAGUGGGCAGUUGGCAGACCCAAAUUGGAACUCAGGUCCUUCUAGCUCCCAUUGACCACUUUUGUGAACAAAUGAGAAAAAGGAACAGGACUCUGGAACAGCUGCAGCGAAUCCCGUAGAGGAUGUUAGAGAAGACAAAAAGGCCUGGGUAAAGGGACUGUGAGAAAGGUGCACAUCUGACAGUCCUGUAAACAGGACUUGGGACAUGAUUGCUGUAGCUGGCUGCACACAGCAGGCUUUGGGACUGCUGUUCCGUCCCAGCCCUUUUCUUUAUGGCCUUAAGGAGCAACAAGCAAAUAACAAGAUAAAUAUAACCUUAAUGUAUAUCGCUAAAUGGACUUGUUUAGAACAAUGCACUUGCUGUACAAUGCCAAGGGUUUUAUCUACAUGUUCUUUACUGUGAACACGUUUGCCUUUCCCCACAAUCAACAUGGAGAUUUGGAGAGGCUUGAGAGCUCUUUGAAAGGAAAAGAGUCAAAGAGCCUCUCCUCCUCCUUCAGCCUGAGACUGUGGUCUGGAGCAUUCUUCGUUGCGCUGUGACGCUGGGAGAGACGCUGGACAAUCUCUACAAGUUCCUGGCCAGAAAGGAGAAGGGCAGGAACAAAGGGUCCGACUAGGAGCCUUUCCCUGUGCCCUGCGGUCUAUCAGCAUUGAUUAGGCAUCUUCUUCCCUCUACCGGGCUGUACCCAAGAUGCCCCCAUUCCUUCCCUGCCUUACCCUCUCCUCAGAGGGCUUGCCCAGGCUCCUCCUCCAAGUCUGUGCCCCUCAACGGCUCCUGUCGAUUGCACCUGGCCCAGCUGAUCCACCAUAUUUCCCCAGCCCCCGGCUGGGCCUCAGGCCUUCAGCCCGCUGUGGGCGUUGGACUAGGAAGAGUUUGAAGCCAGUGGGAUCCAUGUUUGGGCCUAAAGUAGAGGAAGCUGAUGAGAAGGAAGAUGCAGACGUGUAGAGAGAGGCUGAGGCAUGAAAGCAGGGAGACCUGGCGAGUCCCCGGGAGCACAGGGAGUGGCCCCUGCCUCCCAAUGAUCAGUGGCACAUCAUGGCUUUGAGUUCAUGAGGGUCACCACACCCUCCCAGAAACCCCCUUCUUCCUUAAGUUUCCUUGAAUUGGCCAAAACAGCUUGUGUUCUUGCAACCAGAUGGCACGGCACCAGGCCAGGCUGUGGAGAGGAGCAGGAUAAAACUCUAAGGAGGCAGGCCCCCAGUGUGGGGCCAGGGGCAGAUGCACCUGGGAAGUGCUUACAGAAUUCAGAGGAGAGGGAAAUCGGCACCAGCUGGGGUGGCCAGGGAAGGCUGCCUGGAGGAGGUGGACAUCAGGUGGACAUCAAAGGGCAGGUAAGAAGAUGGCCCCCCCAGGUGAGGAGGGCCUGGGGAGGCACAGAAGACAAACAGCUGGGGGGGAGGCGUCUGAGAGGUGGGUGGAGGGGAGGUGGAGGGUGAGGUGACAGAGUUGGGAAUUGAGCAUGUGGGAAGUGGGGAGCCAGAGGCUGUUUGUGAGGGGCUGGGGCCACAGCCUGGAGGAGGGGAGCGGAGCGCCUGCAGACUCAGGCAGGAAGCAUGAAGACCCUGUGCAUGGCCACACACAGGGGCGGCUUGCACGCAGAGGGACUGGUGAAACGCCUCCUGCUCAAGUUCUUGCUCCGAGUGUCGCCCCCACAAGUCUGCGGGAGUCACCACACCGCACCUUGCCUACCAGCGCGCCUUCCCGCCUGACUGCGUCAUUCAGCCGCCCUGAGCCUCAGUUUCCUCAUCUGUAAAACAAUGGCAAUAAUAGCGUCCACUUCAGGCGGUGGUUGUGAGGAUUCAACAUUUUAUUUUAUUGAUUUUUGAAUUUUUUAGACAAAGCGGACCCGGCCUGGGACUUAACAGGUGAUCAAUCAACACGCUUCCACUCGGCUCCCCAGGAGGAGGGACGCUUCUCGGGGCUUAAAGCCCGAGCCUGUGACGGUCUGGAAGGGGCAGGGGAGGGGACAGCUCUGCUUGGCGCCGCCAGCUCCGGCCAUUCGGAGUCAACCUGGCACGCACGCGCGCGCGGUGGCGGCUGCGGGGCCCCAGCAGAGCCUAGAGGGUUCCCCGGAGCUCCCGUUGAGAAGUGGAGUUGGACAACGAUGUCCAAUGUCAAAACGGCACAGUGUCGCGUUCCUUUUUUGUUGUCAGUUUAUUUAUUGUGGUGUAAUUUACAUACAACAAGAUUCGCCUUUUUUUUUUUUUGACACAGAGUCUCACUUUGUUGCCCAGGCUAGAGUG
Non-coding RNA from Microcebus murinus (gray mouse lemur), 2449 nucleotides. NCBI's taxonomy places the organism in Eukaryota, Metazoa, Chordata, Mammalia, Primates, Cheirogaleidae. The record is from RefSeq and is a predicted model, not a curated record.